This 484-nucleotide ribosomal RNA is filed under the name uncultured bacterium. RNAcentral describes it as "bacterial SSU rRNA". It matches the Rfam family "Bacterial small subunit ribosomal RNA", at positions 1 to 518 of the family's 1533-position model. The record is from RNAcentral.
UACGACGUACGAGGUUAGGUACGUACUACUGGCUACAGAACGAACGCUGGCGGCAGGCCUAAAACAUGCAAGUUGAACGGCUGUAGCAAUACAGCAGUAGCGCACGGGUGAGUAAUAUAUGGGAACAUGUCUUUUGGUGGGGAAUAUUCUUUGGAAACGAAGAGCAAUACCGCAUAAGCCCUACGGGGGAAAGAUUUAUCGCCGAUUGAGUGGCCCAUAUUGGAUUAGCUAGUUGGUUGGGUAACGGCUGACCAAGGCGACGAUCCAUAGCUGAUCUGAGAGGAUGAUCAGCCACACUGGGACUGAGACACGGCCCAGACUCCUACGGGAGGCAGCAGUUAGGAAUAUUGGACAAUGGGGGCAACCCUGAAUCCAGCCAUGCCGCGUGAGUGUUAAGGCCUUCGGGUUGUAAAGCUCUUUUGUAUGGGAAAAUGAUGAUGGUACCAUAAGAAUAAGCACCGGCUAACUUCGUGCCAGCCGCCGC